CCUGGACAGCCUUGGGGUGAGGACUGGUUACCAGGGGAACUCACCAUGUGGUUAGAGAGUUGGAACUUUCAGUCCCACUACACCCUCCCCCGCCCACCGCCUCAGCAACCAACCUCCAGGGAGGGGAAAGGGGGCAGAAGUUUGAGUUAAUAACUAAUAGCUAAAGAUGUAAACAAUAAGCCUCCAUAAAACCCCAAAAGGACUGGACUGGUUUCUGAGAGCUUCCAGGUUGUUGAGCACGUGGAGGUUCUGGGAGGGUCCACACCCAGAGAAGGCAUGGAAGCUGACCCCUUCCCCAUACCUUGCUCUUUGCAUCUCUUCCAUUUGGCUGUUCCCGAGUUGUAUACUUUGUAAUAAGUGGGAUUUCCACCCAACAACAAUUCAGCCACACUGCUUCACACAUCUAGAAUCCAUCCAAAAUUGUAAAGGCUUUGUGGCACUACAGUGAAACAGGCAAGAACAUCUUCCAAACAUCCAGCACAAGAGCACACAGGAGGCCGGCAUAAUCACGAAUUGCAGCUGUCUGAAGGGCAGUCACAUAAAAGAGGAGAAGCUUCACCUUUGCUUCACAAGGCACAUCUUGAACCAGGGAUGGAAAUUACAGAGAGGCCAAAACCAGCUCGGUGUGAGCAGGACUGGUAACAGACUGGCCAAGCAACAGAAGGGGCUGCCCUGUGAAGAAGCAAGCUCUCUGUCAAUGGGAGGUGCAAGCUGAGCCUGCACUACCUUUUGUCACGGUUGCUAUGGAAAAGAUUAAGAGCCCGGGCUGCUUGAGUGUCUGCAUGACAUGGCAGCUGGCUCCCUGAAGAGCACGUGAUCCGAAAGAGAGAGCAAGACAGAAGCGCAGUGUCUUCAACAGCAUAUCUUUGAAAGUCAUAUUCCACCGUUUUCACUACAUUCUAUUGAUAAGAUAGCCCUUCCUCCUCUGGGGGCCUGGGCAUCAGCAAGUCGGAUGGCAGUGGAAGGUGGAGAAAUGGAAUCCUGCUGGGGGCUCAGGAGGCCUGCCCCCUGAUGCUGCCGUGCACUGCAGAUGUCCUUGAUGAAGAGAAUGAAUGGAAGCUGUCUUUCUCAAUGGCAAAAGGGCAUACUGCUGUUAUUGUCAGUGAGGGGUCAGUAGUUUAAAUGAUGAAACUCUGGGGAUCAGCGUAAAGUAAACCAACAUACUGCAUGUAAGUAUCAAGUAAAUGAGCAGAGACAGCCCCUGGUUUACAAACACCUGACUUAAGCAUCGUCCAUCCUACAGGACAGGGAAGGAGGAAGAAGCUUCGAGAGGCUGGAACAGUUGAGGGAGCGCUGACACGGUAAAGGCCACUUUGCUCAUCAUCACCAGGCGUGCUGCCGAAAAUUUCCACUCUGUUUACUCCCAAGACCUUACUCCUACUAUGUGGAGACACAUUUGAAUAAAAAAUUGGCCUCUUUUCAAAGUCAAAAUUCUGAGCCAGCUUGAAGGGAUUGUUUUUGGUCAAACCUGCAUCAAUUUGGGCAUCAA
Molecule: long non-coding RNA, 1489 nt
Filed under: Homo sapiens (human)
Lineage: Eukaryota; Metazoa; Chordata; Mammalia; Primates; Hominidae
Description: HSALNT0316868
Source: RNAcentral